CUUUGGGAUAACCCUCGGAAACGGGGGCUAAUACCGGAUAUGACCUUCUGCCGCAUGGUGGGGGGUGGAAAGUCUUUCGGCCUGGGAUGGGCUCGCGGCCUAUCAGCUUGUUGGUGGGGUGAUGGCCUACCAAGGCGGUGACGGGUAGCUGGCCUGAGAGGGCGACCGGCCACACUGGGACUGAGACACGGCCCAGACUCCUACGGGAGGCAGCAGUGGGGAAUAUUGCACAAUGGGCGGAAGCCUGAUGCAGCGACGCCGCGUGAGGGAUGACGGCCUUCGGGUUGUAAACCUCUUUCAGUAGGGACGAAGCGUUUGUGACGGUACCUACAGAAGAAGCGCCGGCCAACUACAUGCCAGCAGCCGCGGUAAGACGUAGGGCGCGAGCGUUGUCCGGAUUUAUUGGGCGUAAAGAGCUCGUAGGCGGCUUGUUGCGUCGGCUGUGAAAACCCGGGGCUUAACUGCGGGCUUGCAGUCGAUACGGGCAGGCUAGAGUUCGGUAGGGGAGACUGGAAUUCCUGGUGUAGCGGUGAAAUGCGCAGAUAUCAGGAGGAACACCGGUGGCGAAGGCGGGUCUCUGGGCCGAUACUGACGCUGAGGAGCGAAAGCGUGGGGAGCGAACAGGAUUAGAUACCCUGGUAGUCCACGCUGUAAACGUUGGGCGC
Molecule: ribosomal RNA, 665 nt
Filed under: uncultured Micromonosporaceae bacterium
Lineage: Bacteria; Bacillati; Actinomycetota; Actinomycetes; Micromonosporales; Micromonosporaceae
Description: bacterial SSU rRNA
Rfam family: Bacterial small subunit ribosomal RNA
Source: RNAcentral